AACUUCACUCAGCGCAACUGUAUCACUUAUAUAGAGGAAAGCACCGAAAACGGUGAAAAACCGUCAUGGCAACACUAAAAUUGAUUGCUGCUGUGCUUUUCAUGGCGUCAUCUGCUGCUUCCUACUCCUCAGGUGGAGAAUGCGACUUCUCAGUCGUUGACGUGGACGCUGCGGUGGACCAGAUCCUUGCCAAGUUUCCCACUAACUACACCCUGACUGAAAACAAAUUCGUACCUGUCAUCGGUGGCCUAGAAGUGGGGCCCCUCAGUGUGUCCGGGUUGAGCAAAAUAACGCGGUACGGUGCUGUACAGCCUUACUGCGUCCGCGGCACGCGCUUUCUUCAAGUGGACUUCAUCAACAACGGCGCCGUAUAUUUUUACGCGCCCUGGCGAAUGUGUUCGAGCCAAAAGGGCCGCGUCAUGAUCGGCGCAGAAUUCUCGCGCUUCACAGUCAUUCUUCGCGUGGACAGAGGAGGCUUUGCCGAGAAUUUCGUUCUCCGUGACGAAGGAUCAAACGUUCCCGUAACAACUUACAACGCUCACGUGAUCGUCGAAGGUGCCGGGCAAGGCGUCAGAACCGCAAUUGCUAUUCUGAGCAAGCUCUUCCCGACAUACGUGACUGAAUUCUGGAAUGAACAAUUCUUUAAUCACUUCACACAUUUCCUUCACACCGCACUGGAGUGAAUCUAACCGACACUUCAUGCUCAGCUGUAUGCAGCAGUCAUUAUGUGAACACUUUCAGGAAAACAGCAGGUGGAACAGUAGCCUCAUUGUAUAAGCCAGAAGGUUUAGUCAGAAUGCACUGAGAUGCUGCUACCGAAUACGAAAAACUUAAGGUGCUUAAUAAAAAGCUUUUACAACUUUAUUUCCAGACCCAUUAUUAAGCUUCGUGCUCAAAUUUCGUUCAGCAGAAAAAUGCGACCAUGGCGAUCUUGUUCACCCAAGAAGCAUUCUCCAGUGCAU
RNAcentral lists this long non-coding RNA (962 nucleotides) under Dermacentor andersoni. RNAcentral describes it as "uncharacterized LOC126534934". Lineage: Eukaryota; Metazoa; Arthropoda; Arachnida; Ixodida; Ixodidae. The record is from RNAcentral.